UCCCUUCCCCUCUGUGCAAACCAGUUGAAUGAAUGGUAAAAAUCACUGUCUCCUCUGUAAAGUUUUGAUUAAUGGGAGAAAUGAUUUGAAAGCCUAAUCUUAACCUGUAGCCAAUCUGGUGUACUUUGUCUUUCUGUAUUGUUCUGUCAUAAAGAGGGGUACCUUAGGAGAGAACAUAGGGUUAGGACACCUGUAAGCCUGCUUUCAAGAUGGCCCAGCAAACUGGCUAACGCUGCUCAUUCCUGGGAACCAACCAGUGAUCUCUGACUGCUGCUCAGAAGAAACAAGAGGGCUAGAUAUCACCUUCUGUCAGAACUCAAGAGUUAUGAAUGACCCUCAACAUACCAGUGCUUUCUGACUGAGCUCCCCUGUACCCUGAACACAAGAGACCCUAAUAGAUAGGCAGGAAUAUCAUCACCCCUCUUCAGCCUGAAGAUGUUACAGAAGACGGAUCUUAAUCCCUCUGCAACCCUAAGGAUUAAGGCUUCUCUUAUAAAAGGGAUGGGGAAAAUGUCAGAUGCAUUUGAACCAGAGCAACUCCAUCUUGAAUAGGGCCUGGGUAAAAUGAAGCUGAGACCUACUGUGCUGCAUUCCCAGAUGGUCACGGCAUUCUAAGUCACAGGAUGAGAUAGGAGGUCGCAAAAGAUACAGGUCAUGAAGACCUUGGGGAUAAAACAGGUUGCAGUGAAUAAGCCAGGUAAAACUCAUCAAAACCAAUAUGCUGACACAAAUAACCUCUGCUUGUCCUCACUGCUACACUCCCACCAGUGCAACGACAGUUUACAAAUGCCAUGGCAACAUCAGGAAGUUAACUUAUAUGUUCUAUAAAGGGGAGGCAUAAAUAAUCCACUCCUUGUUUGGCAUAUCAUCAAGAAAUAACCAUACAAAUGGGAAACCAGCAGCCCUCAGGGCUGCUCUGAUUAUGGAGUAGCCAUUCUUUUAUCCUUUACUUUCCUAAUUAACUUGCUUUCACUUUAUCCUUUGGACUCAUCCUGAAUUCUUUCCUGUGUGUGAUCCAAGAACCCUCUCUUUCGGUCUGGAUCAGGAACCCUUUCCUAUAAGAAUUUGCUAAAGUGCCUACUUUGGUUUGUGCAGCUCACAUGGAAUCAAGGUUUAAAGCUGCUGCCGGGGCUACUUGCACUCUUCUUCCUGAUAGGGAAUGUGGACUGAACAAGCUAUCACUGGUGGUUGCAACAGAUACUAUUCUCAGUUCCUCCCAGAAAUUGCAAGCCUGCUGUGGUCACUUUCCUGUGUCCCCUUUCUAAACAUAGCUCCCCUUAAAAAAGAAAAGAAAAGAAAAGAAAAGAAAAGAAAAGAAAAGAAAAGAAAAGAAAAGAAAAGAAAAGAAAAGAAAAGAAAAGACAUUGUUUCUACUGCCUGUUUCAAAAGACAUUGUUUCUACUGCCUGUUUCAUCAUAGUGCAUAGAAAGUAGGAGUAGGGUAGAGGCUGGUAUAUGAAAUGCCAUCAGCUUUGCUCCUCCCAUUCAGGUGGUCCCAGGUUUUACCCCUGGGGUGGCCAGAGAUUUGGGCAAACAUUAUUCUGGGUGUGUCUGUGAAGGUGUUUCUGGAUGUAAUUAACAUUUUAAUCAGUAAACUGAAUAAAGUAGCCUGCCCUUACUAAUGUGGGUGGGCCUUAUGCAAGCAACUGAAGAUCUAAACAGAAUGCAAAGGCUGAGUAAGAGGGAACUCCUCUGCCUGACUGCUGAGCUGGGACUCAGGUUUUCAGACUCAAAUGGAAAUAUUUGCUCUUCUUGGGCUUCAAGCAUCCAGCUUUCAGAUUGGCACUCAGAACACUGGGUUUUCUGGUCCUUAGGCCUUCAGUCUCAGACUGGAACUACACCAUCGGUACUCCUGGGUAUUCCACUUGCUGACGGUAGUUCUUGGGACUUUUCAGCCUUUAUAAUUGUGUGAGCCAAUUCCUUAUGAUAAAUCUCAAUCUCUCUUUCUCUAUGUUUUUUUCUUACUGGUUCUGUCUCUCUAGGGAAUCUUGACUAAUAUAAUAUCCAAAUGCAAGGGGUCAGCAAAAGCUAAGACAAUCUUAAUGGGGAAGGAAAACGUAGAAAGACUUACUCUACCAGAUGUCUAGACUUAUCAAGACCUAAUUAUUAAAAUAGCACAUUACAGAAGGAUAGACAAAAGACCAGUAGAACAGCACAGAAAGCCUAGAAAUAGAUCCAAAUAUAUACGGACAUUUGAUUUGUACAAAGAAGGUACUGCAAAGCAGUGGGUAAAGGAUGGUUUAUCCAAAAACAGCAUUGAAUUACAACCAUACAAAAAAAGUAAAACUUGUACCUCACCUUACACCAUACAUACAAAUCAAUUCCAGGUAGAUUGUAGGUCUAAAUGUAAAGGGCAAAACAAUAAAGCUUCUAGAAGAAACAUAGGCAGUGAUCUUCAUGACUAUGGGGUAAGGAAAGACUGUUUAAACAGGGCACUAAAAGUACUGACCAUAAAAAAAGACUGGUAAAUUGGACCACACUGAAAUUAAGACUAUCUGUUCAACAAAAAGAGAGUGAAGAGAGUGAAAAUGUAAGCCUCAGAGUGGCAGAAUAUAUUUGACAAACAUAUAACAGAAAAAGGCUCAUAUCCAGGACAUAUAAAGAACUCUAAAAAACAAUAGGUAAUUCAGUAGAAAAAUGAGCAAGAGACUUGAGUAGGGAUUUCACACAAAAAAAGGCUAUUUAAAUGGCAAAUGAACUCACUAGCAAUCAGGAAUAUGAAAAUUAAAACUACAAAGAGACACUGGCACAAGUCCAUAAGGAUGGCUGCAAUGAAAGAUACAACGCAGUGUGUUGGUAAGGGUGUGGAAAAAGGAGAAACCUCCACACUACUGGGAAAGGUGUAAUUGAUGUAAGUACUUUGGAAAAUUUUUUAGUAUUAUCUCCUAAAGCUGAACAGACGUAAAAAUGCCCAGAUCUGGGCAUUUUUACAUCUAGGUGUAUACUGGACAGAAAUAUCUAUGAUGUUUAAUAAAAUAUAUGCACACAAAUAUUUUUUCAUAAGCCUAGGC
This 3010-nucleotide long non-coding RNA is filed under the name Homo sapiens (human). RNAcentral's name for it is "HSALNT0341914". Lineage: Eukaryota; Metazoa; Chordata; Mammalia; Primates; Hominidae. The record is from RNAcentral.